RNAcentral lists this ribosomal RNA (512 nucleotides) under uncultured bacterium. RNAcentral describes it as "partial 16S ribosomal RNA". It matches the Rfam family "Bacterial small subunit ribosomal RNA", at positions 28 to 507 of the family's 1533-position model. The record is from RNAcentral.
GAUGAACGCUGGCGGCGUGCCUAAUACAUGCAAGUCGAACGAAACUUCUUUAUCACCGAGUGCUUGCACUCACCGAUAAAGAGUUGAGUGGCGAACGGGUGAGUAACACGUGGGCAACCUGCCCAAAAGAGGGGGAUAACACUUGGAAACAGGUGCUAAUACCGCAUAACCAUAGUUACCGCAUGGUAACUAUGUACAAGGUGGCUAUACUACCGCUUUUGGAUGGGCCCGCGGCGCAUUAGCUAGUUGGUAGGGUAAAGGCUUACCAGGGCAAUGAUGCGUAGCCGAAUUGAGAGGUUGAUCGGCCACAUUGGGACUGAGACACGGCCCAAACUCCUACGGGAGGCAGCAGUAGGGAAUCUUCCACAAUGGGCGAAAGCCUGAUGGAGCAACGCCGCGUGGGUGAAGAAGGUCUUCGGAUCGUAAAACCCUGUUGUUAGAGAAGAAAGUGCGUGAGAGUAACUGUUCACGUUUCGACGGUAUCUAACCGGAAAGCCACGGCUAACUACGUG